AUAUGUAGGGGGUGAUUUGUUUUUAUAAUAUUUCUGUUUAAUUUUUAAUUUAAACAUAUUUAAAGAAAGUUCAUUUCUAAUACUUAAAUCGAGCGAAUUCCACAGUUUGAUACUAGAUGAAAUAAAUGAUUCCUGAUAAAGAGACAGUCUGCUAGAGGUUUGGUAUAUAUUUUGACUGCUUCGUAGAUUGUAAUUGUUUGUUUCUGCAACUGUAGGGGGUAUUAAAUCUAAUAAGUAAUCUGGGGCGUCCUCUUUCAUAAUUUUGUAAAAUAAAGUUAAUUUCUUAACUUCCCGUCUAAUCUUUAAUUUUUCCCAUCCCGUCUCUAAAUAAAGUGAUUGAGUGCUAGCAUAGCUUGUUAGACCAGUGACAAUACGUGCUGCUUCCAGUUGUAAUUUUUCUAAUCUUUCAGAAUUCAACUGUCCGCAAUUAU
This 431-nucleotide long non-coding RNA is filed under the name Mytilus galloprovincialis (Mediterranean mussel). The record is from RNAcentral. Lineage: Eukaryota; Metazoa; Mollusca; Bivalvia; Mytilida; Mytilidae.